UCUUCGUACCUUGAAAACAAAUAAAACAAUGCGAUUCUUAUCUUCCCCAAAAUCAUAUAUAUUAUUAUACUUUCUUCUUGUUGAUUUCAUCCCUAAAAUCCCAAAUUAAUUUCAACUAUCAAGUUGAUUGCAUCCCCAAAAUCCCAAUUGAUUCUUCCCCAAAUUGAUUCUACUUCUCAUAAUCGAUUCUCCUCGAACAGAAAACACAACCGGCGGAUGAUUCAGCUCAGGAACCCUAAUCUGUUAAGUUGAAGAAACGCGAUUCCACCCUUCAUCUCGACAAAACGCUAUUCCUUCCGAUUCUAUUCUCGCAAGAAGAUAAAUAAUGAUGAUAUCGAAGAAGAAAUGAAAGAUCAUGAAGAAGAAGAAGAGAGCUAGAUGUUUAUGUUUUUUUAAUAGGAUAUACAUUUUGAAGAUGUUAGUUUGAUGGUGAAUGCACAUAAUUGUGAUAUACAUUUCAUGUUAGUUUGAUAUAUGGUGAAUGCACAUUUGGAUAUACAUUUAAGAUGUUAGUUUCAUUUUGAAGAUGCAUGGUCUAUUUCAUUUUGAAGAUGUUAGUUUGAUUGUGAAUGAUUGACAAUAUUAGGACAACGUUAUGUUGAUCGAUGUUAUUAUUUUGAUAUAUAUGAAUGAUAAUCAUUUUAGUUUAAUUUGUAUGUCUUUUAUUAUUGGAUUACAUUGAAAUUAUUGUUCUUUA
This is a long non-coding RNA of Trifolium pratense (red clover), 697 nucleotides long. RefSeq lists it as uncharacterized. The record is from RefSeq and is a predicted model, not a curated record. The transcript has 2 exons. NCBI's taxonomy places the organism in Eukaryota, Viridiplantae, Streptophyta, Magnoliopsida, Fabales, Fabaceae.